UGGUUCCCAAACCAGACCCCCUCUACACCCUGGCUGUGCCUAGAAAUUCUGUCCAUAAUAAUAAUGAACAGAAUCAGUGACAAAGCGGCAGCCU
Molecule: long non-coding RNA, 94 nt
Organism: Thalassophryne amazonica
Lineage: Eukaryota; Metazoa; Chordata; Actinopteri; Batrachoidiformes; Batrachoididae
Exons: 3
Source: RefSeq, a predicted model, not a curated record